GAUGAACGCUGGCGGCGUGCCUAAUACAUGCAAGUCGAGCGAACAGAUGAGGAGCUUGCUCCUCUGACGUUAGCGGCGGACGGGUGAGUAACACGUGGAUAACCUACCUAUAAUACUGGGAUAACUUCGGGAAACCGGAGCUAAUACCGGAUAAUAUAUUGAACCGCAUGGUUCAAUAGUGAAAGACGGUUUUGCUGUCACUUAUAGAUGGAUCCGCGCCGCAUUAGCUAGUUGGUAAGGUAACGGCUUACCAAGGCAACGAUGCGUAGCCGACCUGAGAGGGUGAUCGGCCACACUGGAACUGAGACACGGUCCAGACUCCUACGGGAGGCAGCAGUAGGGAAUCUUCCGCAAAGGGCGAAAGCUUGACGGAGCAACGCCGCGUGAGUGAUGAAGGUCUUCGGAUCGUAAAACUCUGUUAUUAGGGAAGAAAAAAUGUGUAAGUAACUAUGCACGUCUUGACGGUAACUAAUCAGAAAGCCACGGCUAACUACGUG
RNAcentral lists this ribosomal RNA (497 nucleotides) under uncultured bacterium. RNAcentral describes it as "partial 16S ribosomal RNA". It matches the Rfam family "Bacterial small subunit ribosomal RNA", at positions 28 to 507 of the family's 1533-position model. The record is from RNAcentral.